UUCUGACUGCAGCUCUGGAGCGGGGGCUGCCCAUCUGGUGCACCUUGCAGCACAUAAAUAGCUUGGAGUGGCAAAAUCCUGAGAGCUGCAGGGCUACAGAAAGCAACCUCUCUUUAUAUAUCAGCUUGGAACUGCUGGAAACAAUCUGUCUGCACAGGUGGUCCACUUCAGCAUUCAGCAAAUCCUUGAAGUAUGGACUCAGAUUGAGGAAGGGCUCCUCGUUGCUGAACCUGAUGUAACUGCACAGAUGGACCAGGGAGAAGAGCAAGAAGAGCCUUGGAGGAGACACACAUGGGUGAGGACCAAGUGAUGUGGUGAGGUGGGGCCCCUUCCAGAUCACCUUGAAAGCACGUAUCUGCAGGACAUGUUGGCAGCGGGCUCCAGAGGAGGAGAGGAGCAGUUUGGGGAUUGCCAUGGGAGUCAGCAUGGUUGCUCAGAGGCCCGGCAAGGUGGCUGUGAGGAGGGAAAGGAGGUUUAGCUGCCCUGCUCUGACAUCAACCCGGUGAAAAGGUGGGCGAGAAGGGCAGCAGCUUCACGGCGAGUCCCUCACGUGGAGCAUCCAACCAUCUGCUCCGAGUGCGGCAAGGGCUUCAGCCGGCGCAUCCGCUGGUCCAGCGCCAGCGCACGCACACCGGGGAGCGCUCCUUCCUGUGCAGGGCCUGCAGCAAGGCCUUCAGCCAGAGCUCCCACCUCAUCCACCACACACACACCUCUUGGGGUCUGGGUGUUGGGAUGACCCCAAGAUUGUAAAAGUCCUCAUUUCCCAGCCCAUGCAGCCAAAGAGGGAGUCAGAAUGCGUAGGAUCAGCUUCUCAAGGUUGUUUCUUUUUCCUUAUCUAUAACGUUCUUU
Taeniopygia guttata (zebra finch) is the source of this 849-nucleotide non-coding RNA. The record is from RefSeq and is a predicted model, not a curated record. Lineage: Eukaryota; Metazoa; Chordata; Aves; Passeriformes; Estrildidae.